UUUAAAUGUCAAAUUCAGGGCCAACCCCAGUGAUUCUGAUAACUAAAUCAGAAUUCUGGAAGCCCUGGAGUCCAGGAACCUGCAUUUUAA
RNAcentral lists this microRNA precursor (90 nucleotides) under Otolemur garnettii (small-eared galago). Its description in RNAcentral is "miRNA (ENSOGAG00000027296.1)". The record is from RNAcentral. Lineage: Eukaryota; Metazoa; Chordata; Mammalia; Primates; Galagidae.